UGGAACCAAUAGCAGCUCUCUCGAUCUAGGAUCGAGUAGCAUGGAAUGUGCUUCUCGCUCAUACCGAUUGGUUGCACUCGGUAAACAUCUGCUUAUACGCCACUUUUGUUGCUUAACUAAUCGCGCCUGUUUUCGACUAGAAAUGGCGAACUUAGCAGUCUUCGUUCUUUAAUUGUCUACGGAAAUCAACGUUUGUAACUGCAACGGUCGGCACGUGAGGUGUUUGUAAAAAUUUCCAGCUGAAUCCCUUCGAUUGCAUCUUCAUCUACUGAAAGAAACUCAACCACCAUACACUUCUGAGGUAAUUUUUCUGUAUCUUUGAUGUGAAUGUUUUUAAAUAUCUCGAAGAUUAUUAUUUAUUAGUAGGAAGGUGUCUAUUUAGGUGAAUAUGGGUUACAGAUAUUGUAAUGAUGGAGUAUUGGAGAGGUGUUCUAAAGGUUCCGGUGGGUCCAACCAGCAGAAGUUACUUCAGAGUUGGCGUGUCUCUCUGCCUCUCACCAAGUUCCAAAUCAUUAGCUGUAAGUUCUUUUUGCUUCAAUUGUAAUAGGGCAAUGCCUUUAUCCUCUGCAAUCACUGCUGUAAAUUACUAAACUGUUUGUUUCGCCAUGCACAACUGUUUGUUUCGCCAUGCAUUUCUCUUAUUGGAGACGGAGCUUCACCUUUCUUGUCUCUAAAACAAGCAAUUGCGUUACUUCUUUUUCCCCAUUGGGUUUCGAUCUUCCUUUUAUACUUGAAUUUAUACAUGCUUGUUCAACACGAACAACUUUGUUGUGGUUUUAUAUUCCAAUUCCUAGAAAACUUUCUUUCAUCUCUUCAACACCAUGACAUAUGCGUGUGAAAGGUAGGUACCUUCUGCAAAUGCCAUCUUCUUUUCUGGGGAUAAAGUUGAAGGGACCAGGAAUCCUAUGAUUGAGAGGCUAUCUAAUCUGCAGAAAAUUGCUGAAAUUCUGGUCUCUAAAUUUGGCGGUUCUGUUAAUGCUUGGGUUAUUGAGGCUUCCAUUUUCAAUGGGCCUUUCGCCGUUUAUAGAGAUUUCAUUCCAUCAGUAAAUCGGUGGGGGGAACCAAAAUCUUACAGCCCAGCUGGAUUCCCUGCUUCUACCUCAACCAUCUCUCUCUUAUCAAAUUGCCUAAAAGAGGCAAAAAAGGUCAUUUCAACAAAAGAGAAAGAGCCAUCGACCACCAGUGUAUCAUCUUCAUCUUCUUAUCAGCCCAAAACAUACAUCCUUGGAUUUAGUAAAGGCGGCACUGUACUGAACCAGCUAGUAGCUGAACUGAGCAUUUCAGAAGUAAAAUCAAAUUCAAAGGAACAACAUAGGAGCAGGGAAUCUUCUGAAGACGAUUUCCAAAUCAUACCACAUAGUAAAGAAAGCCUUAUAAACAGCAUCACAGAGAUCCAUUACGUGGAUGUGGGUUUAAACUCUGCUGGUGCAUAUAUAACUGACCAUAAUGUGAUUGAAAGAAUAUCCAAACGUCUCAUGCAAGGAGCUCCAGGAAUUCGUUUUGUCCUUCAUGGAACACCGAGGCAAUGGUGUGAUAGCAGGUGAGUUUUGAUACGUAAUGAAAAAGACAAAUUGGUUAAUCUGCUCAUGUCCGAAGCUCAAAAGAGUGAAGGGAAACUAGAGGUGUGUGAGAAAUUAUGUUUUGCUGAUAGAACUCCAGAUCUGCCGAUGCACUUCGAAAUUAUUGAAAGUAUGGAGGUUAGGUGAGUGUUGAUUUGGAAAUUUUGGUUGGCACUCUUAAUGCUGUAAUUAUACAUGCAACUUGACGAAAAUAUGAUGAGAUCCAAUUUGUUCUGUGCAGUAUGCUUGAAACUGAAGUGAUUUCUAUUUACUUUUCUUGUGCUUUUAACUAAUGAAAUAUUGCAGAAUAAAUUUAUCAGUUCAGCUGAAGUGCAUAAAAGAAUCCGGCACUGCAGCAUCAGAUAAAGAUUCAAGAAUUACCACAAUGAUUUUGAUAGAACUUAGAAUGUGUAUAAUUGUUCAAUUUAUACAUCAUUGCCAUCAUAAAUGACAAUCUUUUUAAAAUUUGCAGUUAUGCUAACUUAAUGAUUGAAAACAUUAUUGACCAUGAAAAACAAAAGGAAAUAAAAAAAAAUGAAUUGUUCUUUCAAUAAAUAAGAAAGAAAAACCAGCAAUAGAAGAACAGCGAAGUCAACUAGAAUAGAACUACACUU
Molecule: unclassified non-coding RNA, 2173 nt
Filed under: Hevea brasiliensis (rubber tree)
Lineage: Eukaryota; Viridiplantae; Streptophyta; Magnoliopsida; Malpighiales; Euphorbiaceae
Source: RNAcentral